AUUUCCAGGCCCUACGGGGUGCAGCAGGCGCGAAAACUUUACAAUGCACGAAAGUGUGAUAAGGGAAUCCCUAGUGCUUAUGGAAACAUAAGCUUUUGGCAAGGGUAGGAACCUUGUCGAAUAAGCAGUGGGUAAGACCGGUGCCAGCAGCCGCGGUAA
Molecule: ribosomal RNA, 159 nt
Filed under: uncultured Methanosaeta sp.
Lineage: Archaea; Methanobacteriati; Methanobacteriota; Methanomicrobia; Methanotrichales; Methanotrichaceae
Description: partial 16S ribosomal RNA
Rfam family: Archaeal small subunit ribosomal RNA
Source: RNAcentral